Molecule: long non-coding RNA, 1053 nt
Organism: Gigantopelta aegis
Lineage: Eukaryota; Metazoa; Mollusca; Gastropoda; Neomphalida; Peltospiridae
Exons: 4
Source: RefSeq, a predicted model, not a curated record
CUUUAAUGGACAAAAAGAAAGAGCAUUCACCUUGCUCCACACACGGUGGCAGAUCACAAAGCUCCCAGCAAUUUCAGGUUAGCCAGGGUCCUCAGCACAUGUUUCUGCACACAGACAUGGCACUGCACAUUAAAGUAAUUGACCGCUCCACUGGAAAUUGGUCAGACCAUUUCUGAACAGCAUGCAAUAGCCUCAUUUCCAUUGGAAUUAAAGGAAAACAUGUUGAUGGCUUCAAAGGUAUUUCCUCAUCACAGAAUAUCCAUUAACACCGCCACAGAAUGAUGUCAUCUGAAAACAGGCUGGUAAUGGUAUAUAGUCCCACGCAAGCCAUAAAUUAAAUCCGACAGACGGCAGGGCUCUAAAUACAAUGUAGAAGAAUGCUGUUUUGAAACCGGAGCAACUAUGUUACAGGAGGUCACAGGAUCCACCCACAGUAGAAGACAAGACACCUUUGUGCUGCGAGAUCCAUCAAUUGUGUGGUCACAAUUGUUCGACAGGCCUAUCACUGGGGUGUUUGACGAGUGGCUAUGCGCUACACGGUAAUACCUUUAAAAACCCACUCAUGCGGCCAGAAUUAAAUUCAACUUGAUAAACAGAACUCUGUUACAUGUUACACAACAAAAUAGAAACUACUUUGUCACUGUUUGUUUUCGUCAGACAUGGACUUCUGUAAGAUAUUUGCAUGUACAUUCUACCUUUGACAGCUGUAUAAUAGUAAUGAUAGUAUAGAUUAAAAUGCAUUUACGUAAUUAAAUCAUAAGAAACGUAAAAUGUGAAGCUACUUUAUAUAUGGGUUUUUUGUCCUGUAAAACGUGUGCAUAGUGGGUCAUAAUCACCUUUCAAAUGUUGUUUCAUAUAUGAUUGAUAAAGAUUUAUAUAAAAUUAUAUGUUCCAUUACAAAGAUAGGCAGAAGCAUGCAUGCACCUGGUGUACCCUUGGUGUGGUUAAUUUUACAAGCUACAUUGUAAGUAAUAUACACAUAAACAUAUACACUGGUGGGUCUCGGUCAUAUCAAGGUUAACAGUACCAACAUAUUUUUUACAUACAACUAUG